This 13376-nucleotide long non-coding RNA is filed under the name Populus tremula. RNAcentral describes it as "long non-coding RNA (PTRE_LNC000607)". The record is from RNAcentral. Lineage: Eukaryota; Viridiplantae; Streptophyta; Magnoliopsida; Malpighiales; Salicaceae.
ACUUGUUGGAUAUACUUCUGGAAUCCAAUUUUAGAGAAAUACAAGAGCAUGGAAAUACCAAGAUCGUCGGAAUGAGCAUUGAAGAUGUGGUUGACGAAUGUAAAAUAUUCUACUUUGCUGGACAAGAAACAACCUCAGUUCUUCUUACCUGGACCAUGGUUUUAUUGGCUCAGUAUCCGAAAUGGCAAGCACGCGCAAGAGAAGAGGUUGUGCAAGUCUUCGGUAACAAAAAACCAGAUUUCGAUGGGCUAAAUCACCUUAAAGUUGUGAGUAUCUCUGCAUUUGCAACUGAAUUCUUGUACAUCAAUAUUGUGUUGUUAUUGUUAAGAACACAGAGCAUUCUUGUAUUUAAAAUGAAAGCUUAGGUAUCCUUUGAAGAAACAAUAAGAUAGCAGAAAAAAAACGUUCAUGUUUUCUUUCGUUGAAUUAUUAAUCGGCCAAAAUGACGAGGAAAAGCAACCAACAGAUGAGUACGCAAGCAAGCUAGGACGUGACAUCUAUAUACAUUAAGAAUGAGAUUUACUAGUUCUUGGAUCAACAUAAAAAUUCUCAAUUUAGUAAGUUGAAAUGGCAUGCAAAUGAUCUCUAUAUAUGCGAUAUUUUAUUUUAUCAAAGUGCAUAGCAUGUCACCUUUUUAAUGGAUUCUUACCAUGGAGUAUCGUUCUCUCUUUUGAUGCAUGUUACAGGUUACCAUGAUUUUGUAUGAAGUUCUUAGGUUAUACCCGCCGGUAAUUAUGCUUAAUCGAGAUGUUCAUGAAGAAAUAAAGCUUGGAAAUUUGCUAUUACCUGCCGGAGUGCAGAUCUCGGUGCCAACAAUCCUCCUUCACCAAGAUCAUGAACUAUGGGGUGAUGAUGUCUCUGAGUUCAAACCAGAGAGGUUUGCUGAAGGUGUUUCAAAGGCAACAAAGAGUCAAGUCUCAUUCCUUCCAUUUGGAUGGGGUCCUCGAAUAUGCGUUGGACAAAACUUUGCUUUGAUUGAAGCAAAAAUGGCUUUGGCAAUGGUUUUACAGCGUUACUCUUUUGAGCUCUCGCCGUCGUAUAUUCAUGCUCCUCGCACUGUCAUAACUCUUCAGCCACAGCACGGUGUGCCAAUGAUAUUACGUAAACUCCAAAAUGUUCAUAUGUGACGGGUAAGAGUCAUCCCAGGGUAUAAAGUAGGUUGGAUCUCCCAACAAACCAAACCAAAAAGAAAACUUCUAGUAUAUUAUGUGCAAAUUAUGCUAUCAUGUCCAAUGAUAUGUUUGUCAUAUUAAUCACAACAUUAUAGUACCGUGGGUUGUUUUGCUGUAAUCGUAGUAGAUUACUAUAAUAAAAUUACAUAUUUGCUUUUGAGUAGGAAAGAAAGAAAGUCCUGAGGGUGGGGUGUUUUGGUCUAUUUUAUUAACCCAUUCAUUAUUAAAAAAAUUAUUAAGGGUGUAGAAUUUAUUUUUUUGUACGAUAAAAAGAUUAUUUUACUUUCAAAGUCAACAAAACUUAAAGUGGUUGAAUAAUUUUUUUUUUUUUUACUUUUUAUAAAAUUUGAGAUAGUAAUAUUUUUUUUUAUCUAGGAUUAAAAAUUUUUUGGGCUAUUAGGCAAUGGUUUUUUUUCCCCUGUAUUUUUGGCCCUAGAUAAAACAGAAAACAAAAAAUCGGGUUUAUAUUUAGGGGUAUUUUUAUACUUUCACACGGGCUUUUAGAUAAUUAACAAAGUCAUAAGAGUUUUUUUAAUAUUUUUAAGUUGAGUUUUUAAUUUUUUAAUCAGAAAAGUUGUUGGUGUGUGGUAAACACACCGACAAGUAGAUGACGUCUGAGUCAUUCUAAUGUGAUCUAGUUGUCCCAUUUAAAACUUGAUUUGACUCCAAAAAAAACUUUAAGUUGUCAUUAUUUUAACCUUUGCGCAAUCCAAUCAAGUUCAAAUAAGGAAUAAUGGAUUGUGAUAUGAGGAAAUCGUGGUGAAACAAAAAGAUAAAACCAUAUUGGAUCAAACUCAAUCAAUCUAGGUAACACCUACCACAUGCGUUGGCAUGAUCAUGACAUGAUCACAAUAAGCUUAUAUGGUUUGGUUAUUUGUUUCUUUUAUUUUCCUUCCUUUAUUUUCUUCUAGGUUGGGUUUUUAUUGGGCUUUGGUAUGAUAAGACUUGGGAUCAAUUGAAGAGUUAUAAAAGACUUAGGAACCAAAUAAAAAAUAUUAAAAGAGUUAUAAAAGAAUCAAAGGUGAAAUAAAAAAUAUAUAAUAAGAGACUAAAUAAAAAUAAAAAAAGGUGCGUGCAAUGCACACAUCAAUAUGGAAAAAAGCUUGUCGUGUUUAAACAACGUGUGUAACUUUCUUUAAGUUAUGAUGAAGGAUGCCCUUUGUUGGAAUUGCCUCGGCGGCAUCUCUCUUCCAUGGCAUCAAUAGUGUAGUCAUGAUGGGGCGCUAACAACCUUUUUUUCUUGUAUUUUUUUUCUCCUCUAUUCCUUUUUUUCUCAUCCCCUUAAUUCUUGGGCAUGACCUGGAGAAGAAAAAAAAAAUAAUCACAAUUUUAAUCUACAAUAACUUAUUUAACUUCUUAGAAAAAAGCAUAAUCAUGCUUUCAAUGUCAAACCAUGUCAUCAUUAGGGGGAAAAAAUGAAAAUAUCGUGUAACUUAUAAAUCGCUCUUCAUGCUGAGAUUCUAAUUACCAUUUAUUUAUUUAUUUUAUCUACUCCAAUCAACAAUUUUCUUACUCUCAUGAAUUAUUAAUUUAAUGACUACAGCCGUAAAGAAUCCAAACAAAGGAAUAUUAGUUCCAAACACUAGUAAACAAGAUAUGGAGAUGGCCAUUCACACAAGUGCGUUUGGUAUUGUGGUGACUGUUGUGGUUGUGAUAUGAAAAAAGUACUUUCAUAAAAAAGUGCUUUUAGUUGAGGUUUGUCUGUAAAAAUAUAUGUUUGGUUAAAACUGUGAUUGAAAUUAAGGUUGAAGAAAAAAUUGUUUAAUGUGUUUGGUUCAAAAUUGUGGUUCAAUUUUUUUUAUUGUAUAAUUACCUAAAAGGACUUAAUUCAUAAUACUAAUGAACAAUCUCAUAAAAUUAACAUUACAACUAAUAAAUUUUUGCAAAUAGACCUAAACAUAUUAGAAUAAUAAUUUAUAAUUGUUUCAUUAAACUUGCAGCAAUCCCAUCACGUACGUAAUCCAUUCGCGAAGGCCUUUGGUGUCCUUGACUUUGUAAACGUGAAGCCACAUCAGUUAGAAAAUCAUCAGGCACAAAAUCAGGAUGGCGAUCAAACUCCAUGAAUGCCACAUCUUGCAUUGAAGUUCUUCUAAUGUAAUUAUGAAUUGCCAUGGAUGCGACAACAAUUUCAACUUGUGUCUUGUAAUUAAAGGAUGACAUAUUCUGUAGAAUUCGCCAUCUUUUUUUUCCAAACUCCAAAUGUUCGUUCUAUCACACAACGUAAUGAAGAGUGCAUACGGUUGAAAAUUUCUUCACGAGUUUGUGGUUGUCCUCGCCUCCUAAAUUCUUGCAAAUGAUAUCUCUGACCUCUAUAUGGACCUAAAAAUCCAUAUUCAUUAGGAUAUCCUGAAUCAACCAAGUAGUUUUUCACUGAUAAAACAUAUAAUUGUUUUAAAUUGAAAAUUAAAAAAACAAAAAAAAAAAACAAAAUUACAUUACUAAUCAUAUAUACAGACACACACAAACACGUAUUACUACCUUCUGGUGGCUUAGGAAAUUUUAUACGUGGAUUGUCAAUUGCCUCGAGAAAAAUUCGUGUAUCAUGUGCACUACCUUCCCAACCCUCCCAAACAAAUAUGAAUUGCAUGUCAAAGCUACAUGCAGCCAUAACAUUCUGGGUUGGCACACCUUUUCGACUGAUAAAUGGAAUUUGAUUUUCAAAAGAAACACAUGCACGUACAUGUGUAUCGUCGAUAGCUCCUACACAAUUCUAAUAUAUGAUAAACCAGCAAAAUAACAUCAAUUUCAGCUGACAAAAAAAUUAAAUUUCACAAAUUCAUGAAAUACGAAUCACCAUUAACAAAUACGAUUAACGACAUCACCUUGAAAUGUGGCAUGUACCUCGGAUUGUUCACAAUUUCCCUCGGUGUGUUUACGAACCCGGGAUCUGCAGGUUGAAUUAAAUCUGUAGCAAGCGAACAAACUGAUCUAAGAACUUCAUUAAAGUACCUACUAAUUGUUUCUCCUGAAUGUUGGAAUCUCUCUUGAACUUCCCUAUUGGAAGCAACUAAAGCUAUUGUAUAAAGAAAUAUUCCAACUUUUUCAAAAACACACAUUCUUCUAGAUGCCGUUAACCCGUAUUAGUUUUCAAGUUUAAAGCACAUACUCUGAAAUGUCGGCGCAUCCAUCCUAAACAUAAACACACAACGCGUCUAAUGUCCAUGUAGAAUUUCUGUCAACCAUUGCAUUCUAGUGUUGUAUGAAUCCAUACAAGGCUCCUUAUAUAUAUAAGUAUUAUAAUAUAAAGCUAUGGCACCUGCCGUGCAUAAAAUCAAUUUCUGAUCAUCAAACCCCCUUUCCCAAAAUAGCUCACCUUCUUCAUCUGAAUCGUCAUCGUUGUUGUCGUCAGUAUCAGAACUGUUACUACCACUGCAAUCUCCAUCGUUUAUAGACAAAUUCCCAUAAUUAACGUAAUCGGCAACGUUAUUCAUUACAUCAUCAUAAUCCCCAUCAAAAAGUAUUGAAAACCAAUGCGAAUCCAUAUCUAUCAUGCCAUAAAAUUUUUGUGAAUAAUUGAAAAUUGUAUGACUUUUUUACAAAAAAACACAAAUGGAUAAUGCAAACCGAAAUAAGUGUUAUUGUUCAAUAUCUCCACGUUUUAUGAAAUUUUGCUCGGCAUGUAAAUUUUAUAACGCAAUAUUUAUUUGCAAUUUAGUCCUUUACCUCCUUUGAUAGUGAAAUUGAAUUUCUUUUUCCAAAAUGCCUAUUAUCUCUAAUAUAAAUUUAUAAUUCCACUUGCUAUAAACAACCUAAAAAAUAGAAGUUUAAGAGCUAACUUCAGUCCAAUUCCAGAAACAAUCAGCAGUUCACACACAUAUUGUUUUUACCAUACAACAUUCAAAAUUGCAUUUCCAAAACUGAUUUAUGCGUGUGCAGCUAGAUGGAAACUAACUGACUUUGGAAAAACCAUAAACAUCAAGAGAUCAAAAAAGUCCAAUUCCCUAAACAGCCAUGAACAACUCACACACAAAUUUUUUGAACCAUAUAGCAUUGAAAAUUUCAUUCCCAUAACUGAUUUCUGCGUGUGGAGCUAAAUGAAAACUAACCUGACUUUGGAAAACCCAUAAACAUCAAGAGAUUAAAAAAUUUCAUUCCCAAAAUUUCAUUCCAAAAUUGACAAUUUUCUACCCUUCACUAUCCCAAUGAACUCCAUAAACAAACAUUUGAAAACCUAAGAAACUAACCUGUUAUAGAUGGAACUAAAUGGAAUUAGAUGGAACUUACCUAUUACUGAUGUAUAAAUAGCAACAAUCAGUAACACCAGCAAUUACAAACAACCACUCUUGAUUCAAAUGUACUAACACAUUCGGUUUCUACCAAGAAAUUAUCAAUAUCCAAGUGAAUAACUUCCAAUACUACUGCAAUUUAUAUACAAAUACAUAAGAAUUGAUGUAAUAUUCCAAAAACUGUUACCUAACUUUCAAAAGCUACCAUUCAAGAACAAGUUACUAAACAUUCAAAUGUGGCAUACACCAACUGAAAAUUUCGAAAUUAGCAACCUAAACCUUCCAUUCCAGAGCAACUAACCAAACAUUCAAAGUAUGAUACCAACAAGCAAUAGUCUCAGUUUCAUAAAAUAUUAUCACCAACCAUUCAACUUCAAGUAACCAAACUGAAAAGGAGUACUUUAACAAGCUAAACAUAACAUUCAAAGUUAAGCAUCCACAUAUUUAAGGUAACAUUGAAAGUUAAGCAUCCACAUAUUUAAGGUCUACAAUUUAGAAAUUAACAUCCAUGAAAUUGCAACCCAACAACACUAUUCAGUCAUACAUAUAUAGCAAAACAUACAUGGUUGUGGUGUUCCAAAAACUUAGCUACAUAAAUACACCAAAUCAUGGGCAACUCCUUCUAAUUCCAACAACAAUUGCAGCACAGAAAGUCUGCAAAACCAGUUGAAAAUAUUUCAUACAAAUUAAUAUAUUACUUAUCUACAGAAUUCAACAUAAAUGCAAAGACAAGAAUAGGGUUAAAAGCUAAAAACUGACCUUGUCCAUUUAAGUUUGUCUGUGUUGGUCAAACAUAAUUUGCAGCCAUGACAUUUUUCUGUCAAUACAACCUAUUGCAGCCCACAUCUCCCUCUUGCUCCUCGCACAAAAGAAUUUAGUUGCAAAGGUAUGCAAUGCACUACCAAAUGCAACUCCAUCAAUAGAGUGCAGUUCUUGCAUUACCUCUUCAAUGCUACAACCUUUUUUUUAUCUCUACAAGGAGCUGUGAUCCCUCUAGGCAUGGAGACAGUCUCAACAAGUUUAUCCAGACGUGCAACUAGUACUGCUCCCAUUCCAGUUCCCCUUUUCUUUUUUCACAAUUGAGGUGUAGGCUGAUGUGCACCUUCUCUUUGAACUGCUGGGGUUGCUGCUACUGUUGGCGACAUUGCUUCCACCAACCAUAUUGCUAACAUCAUGUGUGAAAUCAUGGAUUGCAUCCUCUUCAGAGUUGCCACUUCCUUCUUCCAUAUUAGUAUCCUCAUUGGUUGUAUUCCUCAUUCCAGCAGCCAUAUUAUCUUCAUCUGAUAAGAGUCCUUAUGAGGGAGUCCAAGCAUAUUCUCCCGUGGCCACUAUGUUAGUAAACAUGAUAUCGUACUUGGCACACAACGAGGGCUCUAUGUCGACAUGUCUAAACUUCUUUGCUCCUCUCAUUUCCUGUGCAAUGACAGCUAGAUGUAAUUAGGAAUGAUACUAGGUGAAUAAAUAAUACAACAUGAAAAAAAAAAUUAUGAGGCUAUUGCAAAUCAGCAAACUAACCUGAAUUUUUGAUUGCCACCAUUCAUCAGUUGCUGAGAUGGUCCCAAGUUCAGUAGACCAACCAACUCCAGUUUUAGCUAUUAAUUUCUUCUAUACCCUCCAAUCCUUUUUAAUCCCAUCCCAUUUAUUUUUAAGCUGAGAUUUUGAUAAUGAAAGGCCUGUCUGAUCUUUGAAUGACUGUACGAAAAAUUUCCAGCCAGCUUUGUCAAAAUAUGUGUUUGGUCUCAUGCCUCUCUUAAUAGCUGUAAUGCAAAUGUCGCAAAACGUGUGCAACAUUGCCUUGCUCCAAGAAGCUUUGUCAUGUGUGUCAAACCCAUCCAUUGCUUAUGGUUGACAAUGCAAUGAAAAAAUAAACAAUCAAUUAACCAAAUGAACAAGAGAUUGAAUGCUAAUAAGGCCAUAAUACAAUAGUAAUAGAACAGGAAAUUACAUGUGCAGCAAAAGGUCAACCAAAGAAUAACAAAAGGUUGAAUGUUGACAAGGAAUGAAAACAUAAAUAAAGAAAUUAUGUAUAGAAGAAUGGUUGACAAUGCAAGAUAGAAUUCAAAACACAAUUCAAUAUAGAUGAAUAAAGGUUUAAUGCUGAUAAGGGAUGAAAAAAAGAAACUAAGGAACUAGUUAAAAAAAAAUUGCAUGUUGUGAAGUGUGAACUAAGGAACUUAAUAGAAGGAUUGUCAUCAACCUAAAAACCUAGCCACUAUGCCAUAAUCCUAUAACUGUUUAUCAUCAAUUAGCAGGGGAUAUUCUAAUUAGCAACUGAAAUAAUUUGUUUAAGUUAUUAUGUUUAUAGUUGUUAGCAAUCAACAACAAACAAUAGAAUUAUGUAUAACAGAAUGGUUGACAAUGCAAGAUAGAGUUGAGAAUAAUGGAAUGUGUUGGGUUGUUCCUUAGCCAACCUUCCUAUUUAUAUAGAGGCAGCAGAUCAUUGCAGUAACUGUAAUGAUUACAACAUCCUAUAUUAGAAUCCUAUUAUGAUAGAUACAUGAGUAACUAUAAUGAUUACAACAUCUUAUAUUAGAAUCCUAUUCUGAUAGAUACAUGAGUAACUGUAAUGAUUACAACAUCCUAUAUUAGAAUCCUAUUCUAUAAUAUGCCCCAUCAAGCUGAGGGUGGGGGAUCAACCCGAAGCUUGAAUCGAAAAGCAGUAAAGGAUGCAACAUGAAGCGGUUUAGUGAAUACAUCGGCAAGUUGAUCCCGAGAGGGAACAAAAUGAAUCUGAAUUUCUUUCUUGGCAACACGGUCACGGACAAAGUGAUAAUCCACUUCAACAUGCUUAGUACAAGCAUGGAAGAUAGGAUUUGCUGAGAGAUAGGAAGCACCAAGAUUAUCACACCAAAUGGUAGGGGCAGAGACUGAGGGAACCUGCAAAUCUGUUAACAAGUAUUGAAGCCAAAUGACUUCAGCGGUACCAUCAACAAGGGCUUUAUACUCAGCCUCAGUAGAGGAGCGAGCAACAGUGUGUUGCUUGCUGGAUUUCCAAGAAAUCGGCGUCUGACCAAAAAAGACAAGAUAGCCGCCCGUAGACUUGCGAUCAUCAAUACUACCAGCCCAAUCUGCAUCUGUAAAGCCAUGUAGAGCAAAAGAGAAGCCUCGAGUGAUAUGGAAACCAUAAGAUGUCGUACCUUUAAGAUAACGUAAAAUACGUUUGACAGCUGCCCAAUGAGAAUCUGUAGGAGCAUGCAUAAACUGACAGACUCUGUUAACAGCAAAGCAUAUAUCUGGACGGGUGAAGGUAAGAUAUUGAAGAGCACCCACAAUUUGACGAAAUCGUGUAGGAUCAUAGAAUGAAUGAUCUGGUAAUAAAAUGACUUUCGAAGGGGAGACUGGAGUAUCAACUGGUUUGCAGGAAGUCAUACCAGCUCAAGUGAGGAUGUUAAGAAUAUAUUUAUGUUGACGCAACAUUAAACCCAUACUGGUAGACUGAACUUCAAUACCCAGAAAGUAGUGAACAACACCUAAGUCACGAAGCUUGAACUCAGAGCUGAGUAACUAUAUAAGGUGAUGGAGCAUAGCAGAGUUGCUACCCGUGAGCAGAAUAUCAUCAACAUACACUAGGAGAUAAAAGAUAUUAGUACCAUCAGAUAAGAUAAACAGGGAGGUGUCAACCUUGGAAGCUCGGAAACUGAUAGAGAGCAAAAAAUCACUUAGACGAGUGUACCAUGCUCUCGGUGCCUGUUUCAAACCAUACAAUGAUUUGUGCAAUCUGCACACAUGAGAUGGAAGAGUAGAGUCAACGAAACCUGGAGGCUGUUUCAUGUAGACCUCUUCAGUAAGAACACCAUUGAGGAAGGCAUUAUGAAUAUCAAGCUGAUGAAUCUUCCAAUUUUCCAAACCGCGAUAAAGAAAACCAAUCGUACAGUGGCCUGCUUAAUAACUGGACUGAAGGUUUCAGAAUAAUCAAUACCUUCCUGCUGGGUAAAACCUCUAGCAACAAGGCACGCUUUAUAGUGCUCAAUACUACCAUCAACACGACGUUUGAUCCGAUAUACCCAUCUACUGCCAACAACGUUCAUCGAAGGAUGAAAUGGAACCAAAGACCAAGUGCGAUUUUCGCGUAAAGCGGCGAUCUCAUCACACAUAGCAUUAUGCCAAACUGCAUACCGGUCAGCAUCAGAGAAUGCAAAAGGCUCAGAAGAGGGAGAAUACAGUACCCGUGUGGAGGUAGAAGUAGCGGCAGCAGAAGCAACCAGAUUAGCUGUCUUCGGCUGCCGCGGUCUAAGAGUCAUAGGAUGUCUGCUGUGUGCUGGUGGAGACACAGGGGAAGACGGUUGUAGCGAGGAGACCUGUGGCAGCUGAUAAGAAGACAAAUCAACCAUAAGUUGCAGACCAACGGGAGAGGAUGAUAAAGAAGCAGCCUCAAGCACAGGACUGUCAGCAGAGGAGGGGCUGGAAGUAGAGACUGAAGCUGCAGGAGUGCUGGCCAGGGAGGGCGAAGCAGAGGAGGGACUAGAAAGUGCCCCAAGACCAUGAGGAGAGGAGACCAAUUGACGAUCUGAACCUGCAUUAUAAGGGUUAGAUAAACAAGCAUGGGAUGAUGGCCAAGGGAUGGGCGGAGGCUGUGGUCGGUGGCUGUUUGGAGUGGCAAAGCGGAGUGUUGUGGGCUGUUUGGGUGGCUAGUGAAAGUGGGUGGCGGUGGGUGGUUUAGCAAAUUUGGAGGGUGACAGUAGGGGUGGGGUGGGGGUUGUGGUGGAGACCUUUGCAAUCUGUUCAGAAUUAUCAAAUGGAAACACAUGUUCAUGGAAGCGGACAUGACGGAAAUAUAAAUACGGUGAGAUGCAAUGUCAAGACAUCGAUAACCAAGAUGCGAGGAACUAUAUCCAAAAAACACACAUGGAGAGGAACGAAAAUCCAAUUUAUGAUUAUUAUAUGGACGCAGAAAAGGAAAACAGAGACACCCAAAGGUACGCAAAAAAUGAUAAUCAGGAGACCGUUGAAAUAAACAAUCAAACGGAGAGCGAUGGGCAAGAAUAGGAGUAGGCAUGCGAUUUAUAAGAUAAACAGAGGUUUCAAAAGCAUAAUUCCAGAAUCGAAAAGGUGCUUUACAUUGCCCUAAAAGAGUAAGACCUGUUUCCACAAUAUGCCUAUGACGACGCUCUACUGUUCCAUUUUGUUCAUGAGUGUGGGGACAAAUCAGACGAUGAUGAAUACCAAUGGUCUGAAAAAAUGUGGAUAGUUUUCGGUAUUCACCGCCCCAAUCAGUUUGAACAGAUUUUAUUUUUAAUGAAAAUUGACGUUCGACAAGAGUCUGAAAUUGAUGAAAAACAGAGUAAACAUCAGACUUGGCAACGAGAGGAUAAUACCAUACAUAUUUAGUAUAAGCAUCAACAAAGAUAACAAAAUAACGAUAGCCAUCUGAAGAAAAAAGAGGAGCAGGGCCCCAUACAUCACUAAAAAUUAAUUCAAGUGGAGCAGAAGUUUUGUGACCCGUAGGUCCUAAAGACAAACGCGAUGAUUUUCCUAAAGGACAACUUUGACAUUGAAAAUUAAGACGUUUGUUGUUACAAAUGAUCUUAUUUUUCGAGAUUAACAAUUGAAAAAUACGUGAAGUAGGAUGACCUAGUCGACGAUGCCAUAAAUCGGCAGAGGCAGAAGUGCAGGGAGACCAAUAGGCUUGAGGAACUGACGUGACGGAAGACUUGGUCAGGGCAUAGAGACCAUCUUUACUCUGACCUGAGAGAAGGACUUCAUGGGUGUUGAAAUCCUUGACAUAAAACACACGAGGGUGAAAUUCAAAAUAAACAUUAUUAUCAAGACAAAAUUUCUGAACAGAGAGCAGAGGUUUUGUGAUUGCAGGAACAUGAAGAACAUUAGAUAAGGUGAAAGAACGAUGUGGUGUAUAUAUUUUUGUAUGACCAAGAUGAGAUAUAGGAAGGCCCUUACCAUCACCAACAUGCAAAUUAUCAUUACCAAGAUACGGUUCUGAAGCGGUCAAGGUGGCAAGAUCAGGUGUGACGUGUUGAUUGGCACCGGUAUCUGGAAACCAAUCAACAGAACCGGUUGAGGAGAGAUUGCGCUGCACCAGGUUGGCAGUAGGUUGUUGGCCAUAACCUCGCUGCUGGAAUUGAGGGCAAUGGGAGCUGUAUGGCCGAAAUUCUGACACAGUUGGCAGCGUGGAUUCUGCCCCCUAUUGCGCUGCCAAGAGCCCUGCCUAUUGUCACCGAAGGAGGAGUUUUGGAAGCUGCGGUGAUCAGGUCUGGAGCCAGCAAAUCGGUUGCCUCUGCUGUUGGACUGGUUGGGACGCCAGCCACCGUUGAAGCGGCCCCUGCUGCGGCCAGAAUUGCCAAAAGUCUGGCGCUGCGCAACAAGAGCAGAAGAUGGAAUGCUGGGUGUGGGCAGCAGAGGAGCAUGUAUGGCAGCAGAAGAUUUGUGAAGAAAUUCAUGUGUGAGGAGAUGGCUGUGAAGAUCUGCAUAUGAUAAAGGUUCAGCCUUGGUAAUAAGACUGGUAACUAAGUCUUUAAACUCUCCCCGAAGACCACGAAACACAUAUAAAUUGAAAUCUUCAAGCGAAACUGGCCGACCAGCAGCGGCCAAUUCAUCAAAUAAGGCCUUCGCUUUUUGCAUAAAUUGAGUUACUGAUUCAUCACCCUGUCGAAGAUCCUGAAGAGAGCCGUGAAGUUGCAUAAUACGAGAGUUGGAGGUGGAAGCGAGAGCUCGCUCAAGAGUGCCCCAAGCUGAACAAGAACUUUGACAGCCAACAACAAGAUGCAAAACUUCCAUAGAUAGGGAGGAAAGAAGAGCACUUAGAAUGAGUUGGUCCUGUUGUUUCCAGGUUUGAAAAAGCGGAUUUACCUGAAGAGAGAUACCAUCAUGGGCAAGAACAUGUGUUGAUGGACAUGUGUUGGAGCCAUCAACAAAACCAAAAACUCCUUGGCCUAGGAGAUAAGGCAGCAUCUGCAUACGCCAAUAUAAAUAAUUGGUGUUUGUUAAUUUGAGGGAGAUGACUUGAUGAGUGUGAGAAAGGGAGAUAAUGCUUGCGGCAGUAGAGGCAGCAGACGUGGGCUGCUAGAGGAGGCGUUCACCAGCCAUGGCAGAGGAGAAUCCAGGCGGUGACGCAGCAGAGGAGGCGCUGCAAGAGAAGAGGGCUGCACUGUCGGAGAAGAAGAAAGCUGGACUACUAGUGCUGCAGAAUUUGAAGAUGUAUGUGGCGGCUGUUCCAUUGAAGAAGGGAGGCUGUGAGAAAAGUAGGUUUAAUUUAUUUUAGGGUUUUGUGGCUCUGAUACCAAGUUGAGAAUAAUGGAAUGUGUUGGGUUGUGCCUUAGCCAACCUUCCUAUUUAUAUAGAGGCAGCAGAACACUGCAGUAACUGUAAUGAUUAUAAUAUCCUAUAUUAGAAUCCUAUUCUGAUAGAUACAUGAGUAACUAUAAUGAUUACAACAUCCCAUAUUAGAAUCUUAUUCUAUAAUAAAUAGAAUUUAAAACACAAUUCAAUAUAGAUGAAUAAAGCUUUAAUGCUGAUAAGGGAUGAAAAAUAAUUGCAUGUUGUGAAGUGUGAACUAAGAAACUUAACAAAAGGUUUGUCAUCAAUUAGGAGGGGAUGUUCUAUAUAUAUAUAUAACUAUUAUUUUAAUGUACAUUUAAUAACUUUUUAUAUUUAUAUAUAUAUUAUUUUAAAUGUUUUAAUCUUAAAUGUUUAUUAUAUAUAUAGUUAUAUAUAGAGUAUAUAUAUUAUUUUAUAUAUAAGAGCAUGGAAAUACCAAGAUCGUCGUAAUGAGCAUUGAAGAUGUGGUUGACGAAUGUACAAUGUUCUACUUUGCUGGACAAGAAACAACCUCAGUUCUUCUUACCUGGACCAUGGUUUUAUUGGCUCAGUAUCCGAAUUGGCAAGCACGCGCAAGAGAAGAGGUUGUGCAAGUCUUCGGUAACAAAAAACCAGAUUUUGAUGGGAUAAAUCACCUUAAAGUUGUGAGUAUUUCUCUGCAUUUGCAACUGAAUUCUUGUACAUCAAUAUUGUUUUAUUAUUGUUA